UAAUACGUAGGUGGCAAGCGUUGUCCGGAUUUACUGGGCGUAAAGAGCGCGCAGGCGGUCGGAUCAGUCGAAUGUGAAAGCCCCCGGCUCAACUGGGGAGGGUCAUUCGAUACUGUCCGACUCGAAGGCAGGAGAGGGAAGCGGAAUUCCCGGUGUAGUGGUGAAAUGCGUAGAUAUCGGGAGGAACACCAGUGGCGAAGGCGGCUUUCUGGCCUGUUCUUGACGCUGAGGCGCGAAAGCUAGGGGAGCGAACGGGAUUAGAUACCCCGGUAGUCCUAGCCGUAAACGAUGGACACUAGGUGUUGGUGGUAUCAACCCCACCAGUGCCGUAGCUAACGCAUUAAGUGUCCCGCCUGGGGAGUACGGCCGCAAGGCUA
RNAcentral lists this ribosomal RNA (377 nucleotides) under uncultured bacterium. RNAcentral describes it as "bacterial SSU rRNA". It matches the Rfam family "Bacterial small subunit ribosomal RNA", at positions 521 to 896 of the family's 1533-position model. The record is from RNAcentral.